Molossus molossus (Pallas's mastiff bat) is the source of this 107-nucleotide small nuclear RNA. Lineage: Eukaryota; Metazoa; Chordata; Mammalia; Chiroptera; Molossidae. The record is from RefSeq and is a predicted model, not a curated record.
GUGUUCACUUCGGCAGCACAUAGACCACAAUUGGAAUGAUGCGGGGAAGAUCAGCAAGGCCCCUGCACGAGGAUGCCAUGCCAACUCAUGAGGCGUCCCAUAUUUUU